GACGAACGCUGGCGGCGUGCUUAACACAUGCAAGUGGAGCGACGAACCAGGGCUUGCCCUGGGGCAGAGCCGCGAACGGGUGAGUAACACGUGGGUAACCUACCCCGAUGACCGGGACAACCCGAGGAAACUCGGGCUAAUACCGGAUGUUCUCGCUUCCUCCAAGGGAAUCGAGCAAAGAUAGCUUCGGCCUUCGCAUCGGGACGGGCCCGCGGCCCAUUAGCUUGUUGGUGGGGUAACGGCCUACCAAGGCUGCGAUGGGUAGCUGGUCUGAGAGGACGAUCAGCCACACUGGGACUGAGACACGGCCCAGACUCCUACGGGAGGCAGCAGUGGGGAAUCUUGCGCAAUGCGCGAAAGCGUGACGCAGCAACGCCGCGUGGGGGAAGAAGGCCUUCGGGUUGUAAACCCCUUUCAGUUGGGACGAAGCUUCCAGUGUUAAUAGCGCUGUGGAGUGACGGUACCUUCACAAGAAGCCCCGGCUAACUACGUGCCAGCAGCCGCGGUAAUACGUAGGGGGCAAGCGUUAAUCGGAAUUACUGGGCGUAAAGCGUGCGCAGGCGGUUUUGUAAGUCUGUCGUGAAAUCCCCGGGCUCAACCUGGGAAUGGCGAUGGAGACUGCAAGGCUAGAGUUUGGCAGAGGGGGGUAGAAUUCCACGUGUAGCAGUGAAAUGCGUAGAUAUGUGGAGGAACACCGAUGGCGAAGGCAGCCCCCUGGGUCAAAACUGACGCUCAUGCACGAAAGCGUGGGUAGCAAACAGGAUUAGAUACCCUGGUAGUCCACGCCCUAAACGAUGUCUACUAGUUGUCGGG
This 813-nucleotide ribosomal RNA is filed under the name uncultured bacterium. Its description in RNAcentral is "bacterial SSU rRNA". It matches the Rfam family "Bacterial small subunit ribosomal RNA", at positions 28 to 827 of the family's 1533-position model. The record is from RNAcentral.